RNAcentral lists this ribosomal RNA (1354 nucleotides) under uncultured bacterium. RNAcentral describes it as "bacterial SSU rRNA". It matches the Rfam family "Bacterial small subunit ribosomal RNA", at positions 28 to 1381 of the family's 1533-position model. The record is from RNAcentral.
GACGAACGCUGGCGGCGUGCUUAACACAUGCAAGUCGAGCGGAAAGGCUCCUUCGGGGGUACUCGAGCGGCGAACGGGUGAGUAACACGUGAGUAAUCUGCCCUUCACUUUGGGAUAACUGCCUGAAAGGGUGGCUAAUACCGGGUAUUCUCCUUGCACCGCAUGGUGUGGGGUGGGAAGUUUUUUCGGUGGGGGAUGUGCUCGCGGCCUAUCAGCUUGUUGGUGGGGUAAUGGCCUACCAAGGCUUUGACGGGUAGCCGGCCUGAGAGGGUGACCGGCCACACUGGGACUGAGACACAGCCCAGACUCCUACGGGAGGCAGCAGUGGGGAAUAUUGGACAAUGGGCGGAAGCCUGAUCCAGCAACGCCGCGUGAGGGAUGACGGCCUUCGGGUUGUAAACCUCUUUCAGCACAGACGAAGCGCCUGUGAAGGUGGUGACGGUAUGUGCAGAAGAAGCACCGGCCAACUACGUGCCAGCAGCCGCGGUAAUACGUAGGGUGCGAGCGUUGUCCGGAAUUAUUGGGCGUAAAGGGCUCGUAGGCGGUUUGUCGCGUCGGGAGUGAAAUCCACUGGCUUAACUGGUGGCUUGCUUUCGAUACGGGCAGACUGGAGGUAUGCAGGGGAGAACGGAAUUCCUGGUGUAGCGGUGAGAUGCGCAGAUAUCAGGAGGAACACCGGUGGCGAAGGCGGUUCUCUGGGCAUGUCCUGACGCUGAGGAGCGAAAGUGUGGGGAGCGAACAGGAUUAGAUACCCUGGUAGUCCACACCGUAAACGUUGGGCGCUAGGUGUGGGAUCCAUUCCACGGGUUCCGUGCCGCAGCUAACGCAUUAAGCGCCCCGCCUGGGGAGUACGGCCGCAAGGCUAAAACUCAAAGGAAUUGACGGGGGCCCGCACAAGCGGCGGAGCAUGCGGAUUAAUUCGAUGCAACGCGAAGAACCUUACCUGGGUUUGACAUACGCCGGAAAGCUCUAGAGAUAGAGCCCCUUUUAGUCGGUGUACAGGUGGUGCAUGGCUGUCGCCAGCUCGUGUCGUGAGAUGUUGGGUUAAGUCCCGCAACGAGCGCAACCCUCGUCCCAUGUUGCCAGCAGCGCCUUCGGGCGGCUGGGGACUCAUGGGAGACUGCCGGGGUCAACUCGGAGGAAGGUGGGGAUGACGUCAAGUCAUCAUGCCCCUUAUGUCCAGGGCUUCACGCAUGCUACAAUGGCCGGUACAAAGGGCUGCGAUCCCGUGAGGGGGAGCGAAUCCCAAAAAGCCGGUCUCAGUUCGGAUUGGGGUCUGCAACUCGACCCCAUGAAGUCGGAGUCGCUAGUAAUCGCAGAUCAGCAACGCUGCGGUGAAUACGUUCCCGGGCCU